GAUGAAGAACGUAGCGAAAUGCGAUAAGUAAUGUGAAUUGCAGAAUUCAGUGAAUCAUCGAAUCUUUGAACGCACCUUGCACCCUUUGGUAUUCCGAAGGGUAUGCUCGUUUGAGUGUCAUUGUACUCUCACACUUCCGAUCGUUUGGAUCGGGAGCGGUGGACUUGGGUGUUGCUGCUUUACUGUGGCUCACCUUAAAUGCAUUAGUGCACCUUUCGGUUGGACAUAGUACGGCGUGAUAAGUGUUCUUCGCCGGUGCCUCGCAAAGAGGGUGGCCGAUCGGGAUGUUGUGCUCCAAACCGUCUUCGGACAAUCUCUGACGACUUGACCUCAAAUCGAGUAAGACUACCCGCUGAACUUAAGCAUAUCAAUAAGCGGAGGA
This 382-nucleotide unclassified non-coding RNA is filed under the name soil metagenome. Its description in RNAcentral is "partial contains 5.8S ribosomal RNA, internal transcribed spacer 2, and large subunit ribosomal RNA". The stretch from base 1 to 120 matches the Rfam family "5.8S ribosomal RNA", at positions 35 to 154 of the family's 154-position model. The record is from RNAcentral.